Paramuricea clavata is the source of this 323-nucleotide non-coding RNA. The record is from the annotation of a GenBank genome assembly. NCBI's taxonomy places the organism in Eukaryota, Metazoa, Cnidaria, Anthozoa, Malacalcyonacea, Plexauridae.
CACAGUUACAUAAAAAUUUAUUUUCUUUUUUGGACAUAAUAUUUGCAUAAAAUUCUAAUUGUAACGUAUAAAUGAGGUUAAAAAAACUCAUUAAUAAUGGACAACUUGCAUGUUAGACUAAAUUUUAAUCUAAGUAAAGAGAAGGGAAUAAAACACAACAGUUAAAAAGAAAAUAAUGAAAUUAGUAAAAUUGCAAAAUUUGGUUGCGAAAUGUUGUAAAAUGAAGAAAAUAUAGCCUUGCGAAGUUUGCAAUUUUCAGUAUAUUUGUAUUACGUGCGGAAAUUGUUACCAUUUUCGGCUCGAAAAUGGUAACAAUUUUCGCA